RNAcentral lists this long non-coding RNA (2904 nucleotides) under Bos indicus x Bos taurus (hybrid cattle). RNAcentral's name for it is "lncRNA (ENSBIXG00000028025.1)". The record is from RNAcentral. Lineage: Eukaryota; Metazoa; Chordata; Mammalia; Artiodactyla; Bovidae.
UUCUCACGGGUGGGGGCUGGGAGGGGGCAGGGCUGGAGGUGGGGGUGCGGACAAAGGGACCCUGCGCGCCUCCCCCACGCCCGCCCUCGCGCGCGCCCCGCUGAGCUGAUCACAUCUGGAAUUCAUUGCUGCUGCCGCCGGCCGGAAAGGAGGAGGCGGAGACAGGGCGCGGCGAGUGGGGGGGCCAAGGCGGCUCUUCCCUCCCUGUCCCUGAGUCCCCAGUCCCCAGCCCCGGGACGCAGUGGAGCCCGGCGGGCAGUCCCAGCCCCUGCCGCGGCCGUCCCGGGGGACGCAGGCGCCAAAGCCCCUCCGGCCCGGGCAAGGAGCCGGAUCGGCCUAGCCAGCAUCAACAGCCCCAUGGCCCCGGCUGGCUACUGAGCCCCACCAUGGGCGGUGUGUACUCAGAGUACCUAAGCUCCAGCAAGGUCAGGGAACACUAUAAUUACACCAAGGAGAGUCCCGACACGAAGGAUACGCCCUCCCGUCAGGUGGCCUCGGCCCUCAUCAUCCUCCUGUGUUGUGCCAUCGUAGUAGAGAACCUGCUGGUGCUCAUCGCAGUUGCCCGCAACAGCAAGUUCCACUCGGCCAUGUAUCUGUUCCUGGGCAACCUAGCAGCAUCAGACCUGUUGGCGGGCGUGGCCUUCAUAGCCAAUACCUUGCUCUCGGGUUCAGUCACACUGGGGCUGACACCUGUGCAGUGGUUCGCCCGCGAGGGCUCUGCCUUCAUCACGCUCUCCGCCUCCGUCUUCAGCCUCCUGGCCAUCGCCAUUGAGCGGCACGUGGCCAUUGCCAAGGUCAAGCUCUACGGCAGCGACAAGAGCUGCCGCAUGCUGCUGCUCAUCGCAGCCUCGUGGCUCAUCUCGCUGGUCCUUGGCGGCCUGCCCAUCCUCGGCUGGAACUGCCUGGGCCACCUGGAGGCCUGCUCCACCGUUCUGCCGCUCUACGCCAAGCCCUACGUGCUCUGCGUGGUGACCAUCUUCUCGGUCAUCCUGUCGGCCAUCGUAGCUCUGUACAUCCGCAUCUACUGCGUGGUCCGCUCCAGCCAGGCCGAUGUGGCUGCCCCACAGACGCUCGCCCUGCUCAAGACGGUCACCAUCGUGCUGGGUGUCUUUAUCUUCUGCUGGUUGCCCGCCUUUAGCAUCCUCCUCUUGGACUAUGCCUGUCCGGUCCGCACCUGCCCUAUGCUCUACCAGGCCCACUACUUUUUUGCCUUCGCCACCCUCAACUCGCUGCUCAACCCAGUCAUCUACACGUGGCGCAGCCGGGACCUGCGGCGGGAGGUGUUACGGCCGCUGCAGUGCUGGCGGCAGGCAGCAGGGAUGCAAGGGCGGCGGGACAGAACCCCGGGCCACCACCUCCUACCCCUUCGCAGCUCCAGUUCCCUGGAGAAGGGCAUGCACGUGCCCACGUCACCCACAUUUCUGGAGGGCAACACAAUUGUGUGAGGGGCAAGUGGGCUGACAGCCAGGCCACCUUGGCAGAGAGUUCCAUGGAGAAGCUCCAGGGACCCGGGACAGAAAUGGGGCCGAGGGGGGCAGGGGUUGCCAAGUAAGAUGCCCCCAUUUCACAGACCCGGGUGAUGCUGAAGAUUUUUCAUGCUUGGGAUGGUCGACUGAGGCUUUGACCAGUCAGAUGGCACAGUGGCAGCAGGGUCCUGGGGCUCAGCAUGGUGACCUCGUUGGAACUGGAUUGUGGGGAGGACUGGGGACGGGGGUGGAGUGGGGGAACCUGGAAAGGGCCUGAGUGACAGCAGGCAGGUGCUCUAGUGGAACACAGCAAAGGAGCCAUUUCCAACCCCGUCUGAAGGAUGUCAGCAUUUCACAACGCUGACCUGCCGCCCUGCUUCUGACUCCCCUCUCUGAAUUUACCAUCCCCCCUUGCCACCUUCUUCUGGCCACCUCGGAGCCUACUCCCCUGGAACCACUGUGUCCCUAGGGGCUGGAGACCUCCUCUCUGACCUUUCUGGGUGGCCCUGGGGCUAACAGUUCCUGGCCUCAAAUCCACAGCUUCCCCAAAUGUCACCAGCUGCCACUCUGGCAACUUCUUCCUUGUCUUUUCUUCUCAUUCUACAAGUGAGAUGCCAGGAAACCACGUGGGGGGUGGGGGGGACUAACCCCCAUUCUCAGACCUCAUCGGCCAGAUUGCACUACUGGGGGCUCAGAAGAGUCACCCAGGGCUGAGAAAACUGGUCUGGGGACCUGAGGAGGGCUCUCCCAGUGGGGCAGGGUGGAAUAGGAGAAAGUUCUAGGGGAGCUGUUGACACCAGACCUCUGGCCCCCCAUAAAAUAACCACCCUUCCUCAAGCUCCACUCACUUCCAGACCCAGCCAAGAUACCCAAUCUAAGGCAGGACAGCCUUGAGCCUCCUGUGCCUGCUUUCCAGCUACAUCAGAUGGAGCACAGGGGGUGGGGGUACCAAGGACAAUGGUGGGAUACCCUCUUUUAACCCACUCCAGAAGGACUUUGCUAAAUUCUGUGGAUGGAGGGAAGGGAUAUUGCGGUACAAACAUGUAUUUAUGUGCGUCUGUCAGUGUCUGUGUGUGUGUGUGUGUGUGUGUGUGUAAUAUCUGUGGUCCCCUCCCCUUGCCAUGUCUCCCAGGAUGCAUGCUAUUUUGUCUCCUCUCGUCUGUAAUGAAGCUGCCAAAGAGGGGUCUGGUCCCUGCACCGACCCCUGUGUCAUUGCUGGCUUAUCUCCCCACUGGAGAACUGGGGUGCAGCUCACCUGGGGGUGGGGGGAAGGAACCCUCACACCUGAAAGUGAUUUCUUGUGACUGCAAAGGCUGGGGGAGGGGAUCUUUGGGGGGGCAAGGAGCCAGUUGGGGGCUUGUGUCCCCUUACACAGCUCCCCGGAUGCCCCUCCUGCCAGAGACUCAGGCCCAGGCCAAUAAACGGUUCAGUGUCUGUU